GUGCCAGCAGCCGCGGUAAUACAGAGGGUGCAAGCGUUAAUCGGAUUUACUGGGCGUAAAGCGUGAGUAGGUGGCUCGCUAAGUCGGUUGUGAAAUCCCUGGGCUCAACCUGGGAAUUGCAGUCGAUACUGGCAAGCUAGAGUUCGGUAGAGGGUGGCGGAAUUCCCGGUGUAGCGGUGAAAUGCGUAGAUAUCGGGAGGAACAUCGAUGGCGAAGGCAACCACCUGGGCCUGAACUGACACUGAGACACGAAAGCGUGGGUAGCAAACAGGAUUAGAUACCCGCGUAGUCC
RNAcentral lists this ribosomal RNA (292 nucleotides) under uncultured bacterium. RNAcentral describes it as "partial 16S ribosomal RNA". It matches the Rfam family "Bacterial small subunit ribosomal RNA", at positions 505 to 796 of the family's 1533-position model. The record is from RNAcentral.